RNAcentral lists this ribosomal RNA (253 nucleotides) under uncultured bacterium. Its description in RNAcentral is "partial 16S ribosomal RNA". It matches the Rfam family "Bacterial small subunit ribosomal RNA", at positions 524 to 776 of the family's 1533-position model. The record is from RNAcentral.
UACGAAGGGGGCUAGCGUUGUUCGGAAUUACUGGGCGUAAAGCGCACGUAGGCGGGUAUUUAAGUCAGGGGUGAAAUCCCCAGAGCUCAACUCUGGAACUGCCUUUGAUACUGGGUACCCAGAGUAUGGAAGAGGUAAGUGGAAUUCCGAGUGUAGAGGUGAAAUUCGUAGAUAUUCGGAGGAACACCAGUGGCGAAGGCGGCUUCUGGUCCAUUACUGACGCUGAGGUGCGAAAGCGUGGGGAGCAAACAGG